This 547-nucleotide ribosomal RNA is filed under the name Ascochyta sp. OTU2 TS-2013. Its description in RNAcentral is "eukaryotic LSU rRNA". It matches the Rfam family "Eukaryotic large subunit ribosomal RNA", at positions 86 to 648 of the family's 3401-position model. Lineage: Eukaryota; Fungi; Ascomycota; Dothideomycetes; Pleosporales; Didymellaceae. The record is from RNAcentral.
ACGGCGAGUGAAGCGGCAACAGCUCAAAUUUGAAAUCUGGCGUCUUUGGCGUCCGAGUUGUAAUUUGCAGAGGGCGCUUUGGCAUUGGCAGCGGUCCAAGUUCCUUGGAACAGGACGUCACAGAGGGUGAGAAUCCCGUACGUGGUCGCUAGCCUUUACCGUGUAAAGCCCCUUCNACGAGUCGAGUUGUUUGGGAAUGCAGCUCUAAAUGGGAGGUAAAUUUCUUCUAAAGCUAAAUACUGGCCAGAGACCGAUAGCGCACAAGUAGAGUGAUCGAAAGAUGAAAAGCACUUUGGAAAGAGAGUUAAAAAGCACGUGAAAUUGUUGAAAGGGAAGCGCUUGCAGCCAGACUUGCCUGUAGUUGCUCAUCCGGGUUUUUACCCGGUGCACUCUUCUAUAGGCAGGCCAGCAUCAGUUUGGGCGGUUGGAUAAAGGUCUCUGUCACGUACCUCCUCUCGGGGAGAACUUAUAGGGGAGACGUAAUGCAACCAGCCUGGACUGAGGUCCGCGCAUCUGCUAGGAUGCUGGCGUAAUGGCUGUAAGCGGC